This 407-nucleotide ribosomal RNA is filed under the name uncultured bacterium. RNAcentral's name for it is "bacterial SSU rRNA". It matches the Rfam family "Bacterial small subunit ribosomal RNA", at positions 111 to 507 of the family's 1533-position model. The record is from RNAcentral.
UAAUGUAUGGGGAUCUGCCGAAUGGAGGGGGACAACAGUUGGAAACGACUGCUAAAAAUCCGCAAUAAAGUUGAGAGACCAAAGCAUGGGACCUUCGGGCCAUGCGCCAUUUGAUGAACCCAUAUGGGAUUAGCUAGUUGGUAGGGUAAUGGCUUACCAAGGCGACGAUCUCUAGCUGGGUCUGAGAGGAUGACCAGCCACACUGGAACUGAGACACGGUCCAGACUCCUACGGGAGGCAGCAUGGGGAAUAUUGCACAAUGGGGGAAACCCUGAUGCAGCCAUGCCGCGUGUAUGAAGAAGGCCUUCGGGUUGUAAAGUACUUUCGGUGAUGAGGAACGGUGACAUAUCUAAUAGGUAUGUUAAUUGACGUUUAAUUACAGAAGAAGGCACCGGCGUAACUCCGUG